This 494-nucleotide ribosomal RNA is filed under the name uncultured bacterium. RNAcentral's name for it is "partial 16S ribosomal RNA". It matches the Rfam family "Bacterial small subunit ribosomal RNA", at positions 28 to 523 of the family's 1533-position model. The record is from RNAcentral.
GAUGAACGCUAGCGGCAGGCCUAACACAUGCAAGUCGAGGGGUAGAACACUUCGGUGUUUGAGACCGGCGCACGGGUGCGUAACGCGUAUGCAAUCUACCUUAUACAGGGGAAUAGCCCAGAGAAAUUUGGAUUAAUGCCCCAUAGCAUUACGACUUGGCAUCAAGAUGUAAUUAAAGUUCCAACGGUAUAAGAUGAGCAUGCGUCCCAUUAGUUAGUUGGUAAGGUAACGGCUUACCAAGACGAUGAUGGGUAGGGGUCCUGAGAGGGAGAUCCCCCACACGGGUACUGAGACACGGACCAGACUCCGACGGGAGGCAGCAGUGAGGAAUAUUGGUCAAUGGUCGCAAGGCUGAACCAGCCAUGCCGCGUGCAUGAAGACGGUCCUAUGGAUUGUAAACUGCUUUUAUACAGGGAGAAACCCUCCAACGUGUGGGAGCUUGACGGUACUGUAGGAAUAAGGAUCGGCUAACUCCGUGCCAGCCGCCGCCGUAA